CCUCCCAUCUCAUUGAACCAAACACAAAACCAUAAAAAUUCUUCCUCUACACUCUUCCUUUUGAACUAAACAUGUCUAUAUUUUCUCUCCCUCACUCAUCUCUCUUCGUUUCAACCAAAUACUAAAUAGAAUUUUAUACUCAGUUCUCUAAUUUUUUUUUUACUUUAACCAUCAAAUGAUACUUAUAUUCUCAUAAUAGAUCAAGUUUUUAUUGAUUAGUGAUAUACAUAAAAGACCAUUGAUCUUUGGAGCCAAGAAACAAUGCUUAUGUGAAAAAAGAAAAAGAGAGAAAAUUAAAUUGAAGACAUCUUAAAAUCAAUGAUAGAUUAUAAGAGAUUCACAAGGCUUUUAAACCAUUUAGUGGUGGCAGCUUCAUGGAGUGGCCCAAAAUACAAGUUACAUGAUUCAAAGGCAAGGUGAUUGUUGAUCCAUAUCUAAUAUUUAUUUAAAAUAUGUAACAAAUAUUAUUUUGUAUUGAAACUUCUAAUAAAUUCAUUAAUUGUAUUUUUUAUUAUCAAAUCGACAUUUUUCACUAUCAGAUUAUAAGAUCCAAUAAAACACAA
Molecule: long non-coding RNA, 563 nt
Filed under: Cicer arietinum (chickpea)
Lineage: Eukaryota; Viridiplantae; Streptophyta; Magnoliopsida; Fabales; Fabaceae
Description: long non-coding RNA (CARI_LNC003144)
Source: RNAcentral